This 4288-nucleotide long non-coding RNA is filed under the name Citrus sinensis (sweet orange). RNAcentral's name for it is "long non-coding RNA (CSIN_LNC002323)". Lineage: Eukaryota; Viridiplantae; Streptophyta; Magnoliopsida; Sapindales; Rutaceae. The record is from RNAcentral.
GAAAUGAGGAGUUAGCCUCUUAUUAUAUAAUAAUAAUAAUGAUAAUAAUAAUAAUAACUAAUCUCUUUUAUCAUAUAAUUGAUAAUGGAAAUUCACAUUGACAAAAGGCAAAUUACACACUGACUGGGCAGAAUAAAAAACAGUCUCUCUCAAAAGCAAUAAUUUAAACACUAACACCACCUUAAGGAGACACCCCAAAAAUAAAGCAGCAAGCUCUUACUGUGACCACACACACACACACACACCAAACUUUUAUUAUAGAAUAAAUCUAAGAUGAUGGAUGAUGGAUGCGUCACAUAAAAGUUAAUUAAUUUAAUCGCUGUCACUGCUGCUGCUGCUCUCGUGUCCGUCCUCGUGCUUCUUCUUCUUCUCCUUCUUUUUCUUCUUCUCUUCACCGUGGGCGGCGCCCUCGCCGCCGCCGACACCGGGGAUCUUCUGCUUGAUCUUGUCCACCAAGCCCUCCUUGUGUUCGCCCUCCUUGUGUUCCCCGCCGUGAUGCUGCUGCUGAUGGUGAACAUCAGUAGUGCCGACACCGGGGAUCUGCUGCUUGAUCUUGUCCACCAAGCCCUCCUUGUGUUCGCCGCCGUGAUACUGCUGCUGAUGGUGGACAUCAGUAGUGUGGUGGUCCCCACUAUGGUGCUCUCCCUUGUGCUUGUCCUCCUCCUUUUGCCCUCCUCCCAUGUGAAGGGCUUCUCCGAUCUUGUGAAUAACUCCUGACAUUUUCCCUUAAAAUGACUCUGUUCCUCUUCUUUUCUUUUCAAUGAAAAAUAGUUGUUUGCGAUCUUCUUCUGGUUGUUGUUGUUCUUGUUGGGUGAUCUUGGCUUGGUAUUUAUAGGCUCCAAAAGGAGGGACUAGAAUUAGGAUUAGAUUAUAGAUUAUUUUAAUACAUUUUAUGGCAAAUUCUGAUUUGGAAAGAUAAGAUUAUCCUUUUGGUUUUCCUUAUUUACCCUUUUGCACCCAUUACGUGUACGCGUCUUCGUGGGCUUUUUGGGUAUUUCAAUUAUAUCGCCAAUGCUAAAUCGACACGUUGCAUAUCAGCCGCGGUACUGCCGUAUGUAGUUGUCCAGAAAUCGAGUCGAUUCUCGAUCGUACAAUAAUUAAAUAAUAUUUCAUACGAAAUGAGUUUAGAUAUAUUUUGAAAAUUUAUUUUUAAUUUAAUUAUACGUGUUAUAUAUUUGUUAAUCGAAUAGAGGUCCCACGUAACAGAGUGUUUCUCUAAUCUUUCAUUGCUUUUAAUUAAUUUUACCCAAAUAAAAAAAAAAAGGAAAAUUUAGAGAGAGAGAGAGAGAUAGCGAAUUAGAAGUUGAUUGUAAUAUCGACACCUGUCAGACAAUCAAAUAUCGUUAGUUAAAAAUCAGUUGUCCAUAGUCAUGGUCAUAGAUGGCGAAAUUGAUACUUAUUUUAAAAAACAAAACAAAACAAAACGAAACGAAACUAAACUAACAGAUGUUGAAAUGCAGUUCCGUGUUAACAGUCUGUGAUGAAUCUUUAUCUUUGAGUAUACCAUUCAAGAAAUUAUCAUUCAAAAAUUUAUUUAAAGCAGCAGCAAAUCACCUUCUAAUUCCUGAAUCAAAUUAAUUCGAUUUUUUUCGAGUCGAUCAAUUCAUUAGAGAAUUAACGGGCUAAGUUAAAGUUUUGUUAGUUAUUUUUUUUUAUAUUCCUUUAGAUGAUAUGAUUGUCAUUGUCUUUCUUUCUCUGGGCAACAAUAAAUACAAGAUGUGCAAAAGCGUAGUGGAACAUAAUUCGAUUAUGGGUAAAGGGAUCAGUCCGCAUAAUGAGGAUAAAGUUUUUCUCUUUAAAAAAAUUUAACCCAAAGAAAAGGUCGUAGUUUGUAAUAGCCGACACGCAGAUAGAUCACAAAGCAUGGCGGUCCUGAUGGCAAUAACUAACUGAUAUCUUCUGCGAUGAGAGGAGAUCACGUGGUUCUGACACGUAUCGCCCCAUCAACUGAUGUUGUGGCUGCAAUCGCGGCCCAGUCUUUAGAGAGAAGAAAGAUCUGUUAUAACGGGACCUACUUUAGCAUCUAUUUACGACAAAGCCCCUAUUUACUCUACUUAGUAGUAAUAAUAGCAAGUGUCGGGCUUGGAUUCCGUGUUGCUUUAAAUAAAUAUCCGCGUAAAAAGAAAAUGCUUCUUUAAUCCCUUCCUUGUAAUUUUUCGACACGUGGAUGGUUGAAAUUAGCGUGCCGACAUCUUAGGAAUUUUAUCUUGGAGACGGGAACACUGCAGUAGGCAAUGCCAUUUUCUUCGGAUGGUGUGUGGUGACAACGCCUUGGAUUUUGACGUGCAAAGAAUUUAAAUUGAAAAAGAAAAAAAGAAAUUACCAGAAUAAGCAUAGAAGAGAUAUUUUUCUUUUUGUCCUUUUUGGAAUGGAAAAAGAGAUCAAGAGAUUGUUCCAGUAAGUAUUACACAUGUCACAGGCUUAUUCAUGCCCCAUUAUGGCAACUUUUAUGCCUCGCGGUGCCCUCGGUUCCAGCAUAAUAGCUAAGACUUCAAUUUUUCUAACAUAUUUUUGUUACAAAUAUGAACGGAGUAAAUGUAUAACUUUAAUCCUUUGAAUAAAGAAAUGGCGGUUCUCCUGCUCGUUAAUCUCACUUGAAUCCCACCCAGGCAAAAUUUCUUUAUUUUAUUUAACAACAAUUUAAAGAAAGAAACUUUUGCCAGGUUGAAUUUCAAGUGAGAUUCAUUCGUGGGAGAAGUGCCAUUUCUUUAUUCAAAAGAUUAUGGUAAUUACAACUUUCAAUUUCGACAUAAAUUAAAAUUAUAGGCUAUACAAUAAAAUUGCCCUAAAUUAGUCCUAAUCAAUUCAGAUUAUAAAUUUAGGUAUAUUUAUUAUUUUAAUAUAUUAAUGUUCUAUAUAUAUAUAUAUAUAUAUAUAUAUAUGUGUGUGUGUGUGUGUAUNNNNNNNNNNNNNNNNNNNNNNNNNNNNNNNNNNNNNNNNNNNNNNNNNNNNNNNNNNNNNNNNNNNNNNNNNNNNNNNNNNNNNNNNNNNNNNNNNNNNNNNNNNNNACAGCAGAAAAUAUUUGCUAUGGAUAAGGAGACAUGGUCCCACGUCCCACCGUCCCAAUGCAUAUUUUGUAUGUUUCCAUCUUUUCUGAAAUUUUAAUAAAUAAAGUUUUUUGACCACUUGGCCAAAGAACCUUACCCUUACACAACUUUGUGGUUGGAGUCCUGUGAUACAUGUAAGAACUUAUUUUUUUUCUUAAUUAUAAUAUUUUAGAAUAUAAUUAAGUGAAGUAGGUUUUUUUUUUAAAUAUGAGUAAAAUAGAUAUUUUUUAAAUAUUAAAGAGAGUAAAAUUUGAAUAAUAAUAUAUUAAAAUUAAUACAAACUAAUUUUAAUAAUUAUUUAAUUAUAAAUAUCAAUUAUAACAUCAUAUAAUAUCAAUUAUAAUAUCGUACAUCUCAAUUAAUUCAAUAAUAAUAAUAAUAAAUGUUUUUUGGGAUAAGUAAACAGUCGCAUGGCGACAAUAGUGGAUCUGGAUUAGAGUGAAGUGGUCCCAAGAGGCUGAGGCUGUGGCUGUGGAGUUCUAAAAGUCAAAAGCUCCACGCACUUUGUUUCAGUACCAUACACACUGAAAAAAUUUGCAUUUGCAAUGACGAAAACUUUUCACGAAAUCAAAACACCUCUAAACUAUUUUGUUAUCGAUAUUUAAUGGAGGGGUUUCCUACCUUUUUAACACUCGAUUCACGCCUUGACGCAUCUCACAGAAAACCUCAUGAUCCCAUUAAUCUUGCGUAACAUAUCUCAAAGCCAAUGCAAGUGAUCUUGUUGCCUACUUCCCUUUGACGAUUCAAAAUUGUUGAAAAUAAUUCUUUUUUUUUUUAACCUCAAGGAAGUGACAAAAUAUAAAAGAAUAUUUUCUACACAUUAAACAUCUAGAUUUUUUUUUCUUUUCUUUUUAGAGUACUUGCACAAACCGUUUCCAAGAGAGACCUUUUUUUUUUUUUUUUUUUUCCGGGCUUGGUUACUAAUUUGGUGUGAAUACUCUAUGGUGAAAAAGGAAUCACAAAGCUGUAAUCAAUUUUUUUGCAUCAUUUAGUUGUAACUUGAACAUUGGGAGGUUUAUAAAGAAUUAAAUUAAUUAUAAUGCCUCUACUAGGAAAAGUUCAGAGUAGCCCUUCACAACUUUUUAAAGGCUUAAUAAUUUUCGCUUUCUUCCUCUCAUAACAUAACAAAAAAUUAAGAGCUUUACUCGUACACGUCCUAUGGCUAUAUAGUAUUGGGUUCUCUACUUCAAUCGGCUAUCUCAAACCGAAGGUUAUUUGGACACACCAGCAGUCACGUUUGG